Non-coding RNA from Chlorocebus sabaeus (green monkey), 1149 nucleotides. The record is from RefSeq and is a predicted model, not a curated record. NCBI's taxonomy places the organism in Eukaryota, Metazoa, Chordata, Mammalia, Primates, Cercopithecidae.
CACCGAGUUGAUUAGAAGGUCACGGAUCCAUCCGUUGCUUCAGGCAAAAGAGUAUCUCCGUCUUCCAUUCCAAAUGAGGUGUCAUUUUCCUUAACCUGCAGACACUUUUCCCAAGUCACUUCACCCUCUGUUGAGCACAUAAUCCCACCCCACGCCCGAGUGGGACAGCUCCUGAGAGCACGUACCUCGCAUGCCUGACGUGGGACAGGAGCAUCAGGAGGUUAGCCAGGCGCAUGGAUUGCUGCUGGGAGGAGAUGCCGCUCUUGGCGAUCACCCAGACCAAAGCGUCGGUCACGGCGUUCAGCAAGUGGGCCAGCUUCUGGCUGCUGUCAGCAUCCUGGGUCGCUGUGACCAGAGGGUACAUAUCUGGACAAAGAAUAAAAGCCACAAGUCAUUGCUCUGAGCAAAGGAGCGGAAGUCAUAUGCUCAGCUGUUGUGUGUGCCUGCUCCGAGGUAAUCUGGGUGCUUUGACAGCUGCAUGUGUGGCAAGACCUUAUAAGCAUGGUCUUACCUCCCCAGGGGCUCUUCCCUGACAGCCAGUCCCAUCACAGAGCUAGAAGAGAAGCCUGGCCUAAUGCAGACAGACUAAAUUGCUACUUGAAGUGCCCACCAGACCCAUAAUUGUGGCCUUGCCAUGGCAAGUAUAUCUAGUCUCCUGAAACCAUUCCAUGAUGUUUCUCAUCUGCGGCAACAGAUACAGAGAUGGUCAGAAGGUGAGAUUAAUUCUACUUUUACCCCAUGGAGGGCUCCCCAUCUAAAGGGAGUUUAAUAAACAAAGGAAUGGCCAAUAUGAUGAAGCCUCCUCUGCCACCUCCUUGUGUGUACCACACGCCUCGGACAGCCAUGGCAAGGCCCCUGCUGCCACCUCUACAUUCUCACUUGAGUGGCACCUGGCUGGGGCAGGAAGACCACUGAUUUGGAGUCAGAUGGACCUACUUCCUAGCCACCAUCUGGAGCUCUCUGAGCCUCAGUUCCUCACUGAGCAAUGCAUGCAGGAACACAUCUGCUUAGGUCCCCACAACCAUGCCCUGGGUAGGCUGCCUCCCCGAUCCUGCCCUGCCCUGUGUUUAACUCCCCUCCAACUCUAGGAUUGAGACACUGUGGCAUCCCAGUGGCAGCAAAGUAACAGCUCAGGUAAAUCUCCUCCCC